RNAcentral lists this ribosomal RNA (383 nucleotides) under Osmundea sp. RNAcentral's name for it is "partial small subunit ribosomal RNA". It matches the Rfam family "Eukaryotic small subunit ribosomal RNA", at positions 582 to 975 of the family's 1831-position model. Lineage: Eukaryota; Rhodophyta; Florideophyceae; Ceramiales; Rhodomelaceae. The record is from RNAcentral.
AUUCCAGCUCUGUAAGCGUAUACCAAAGUUGUUGCAGUUAAAACGCUCGUAGUCGAACCUUGGCGUGAGUUACGGAGGCUCCUAAUGGACGUUGAAGUAACUCCGCCUUUGUGGAGGGGGGUGUGGUGUUACUUAAUUGUAUUGCCGCAUUUCCGCCACUGUUUACUGUGAAAAAAUUAGAGUGUUCAAAGCGAGCGUUUGCCAUGAAUACAUUAGCAUGGAAUAAUAGAAUAGGACCUGGUCCUGUUUUAUUGGUUUGUCUGUAUCAGGUAAUGAUUAACAGGGACGGUCGGGGGCAUUUGUAUUCCAGCGUUAGAGGUGAAAUUCUUGGAUCGCUGGAAGACAAACAGCUGCGAAAGCGUCUGCCAAGGACGUUUUCAUUG